RNAcentral lists this ribosomal RNA (112 nucleotides) under Microtus ochrogaster (prairie vole). The record is from RNAcentral. Lineage: Eukaryota; Metazoa; Chordata; Mammalia; Rodentia; Cricetidae.
GUCUAUAGCCAGACCACCCAGAAGGUGCCUGAUCUCCCCUAUCUCAGAAGCUAAGCAGGACAGUGCCUGGUUAGUACUCGCUGGGAUAAUUGCCUGGUGAACUCCAUAGAUG